Molecule: ribosomal RNA, 231 nt
Filed under: uncultured bacterium
Lineage: Bacteria
Description: partial 16S ribosomal RNA
Rfam family: Bacterial small subunit ribosomal RNA
Source: RNAcentral
CGGACGGGUGAGUAAUGUCUGGGAAACUGCCUGAUGGAGGGGGAUAACUACUGGAAACGGUAGCUAAUACCGCAUAACGUCGCAAGACCAAAGAGGGGGACCUUCGGGCCUCUUGCCAUCGGAUGUGCCCAGAUGGGAUUAGCUAGUAGGUGGGGUAACGGCUCACCUAGGCGACGAUCCCUAGCUGGUCUGAGAGGAUGACAGCCACACUGGAACUGAGACACGGUCCAG